GCGGGGGUAGCCAAGCCUGGCCAACGGCGCAGGACUUAAGAUUCUGUCCCUAGCGGUUCAAGGGUUCAAAUCCCUUCCCCCGCACCA
This 87-nucleotide transfer RNA is filed under the name Methanomassiliicoccales archaeon. RNAcentral describes it as "tRNA-Leu". It matches the Rfam family "tRNA". Rfam says of the family: Transfer RNA (tRNA) molecules are approximately 80 nucleotides in length. Their secondary structure includes four short double-helical elements and three loops (D, anti-codon, and T loops). The record is from RNAcentral. Lineage: Archaea; Methanobacteriati; Thermoplasmatota; Thermoplasmata; Methanomassiliicoccales.